GCCGUAGGACGUCCACGACGCCUUACCACGUAACGACGCUCGCGACCCUGGACUGUACGGCGCGGCUUCCGUGGACCGUUCGUCCGCGUGAUGAGGGGACAUGGCGGCUCCCUUUCCAGUGACCUCAAAAGUCGGCAGGCAGCAGCAAGGUGGCCUGGAUGGGACUGUGGGAAAUAGACUUCCAGGCUGUGGACACUGUGGAGCUCAGAUGCCUCUUCCCCUAGAAUGACAACAUGGACCGGAAGGGCCAGCAGGCUACCUUAGAAGUUACUCAAGGGUCUCCUCGGAAAGCACACCUCUUUAAUCCAGCUGUGAAGCAGCAGGGACGCCCAGGACGCCAGGCUUUUCCUUCCUCUCAGCAACGUUCUGCUCUGAUCAACUCGACACCUUACGCGGAGGCGGACGUGUGUCAACACCUGCACCUGUGAGGACUUUGUAGCGCGUGAACCCUUGCAGGCAGAGGGUGCCUGUAGCCUGGCAGUGCCAGAAAGGUCUUCACUUCUUUCCUUUUCUGUAUAAAUCACUUCUUUUCUGUGUGGUGUUGAAUUUAUCGAAUUCCGGUGAAGACAUUUGGUCAUUCGAAGGGGCGCUUGUAGCAGGGGGUGGGCGUUAAACAGAAACAUGCACUGUUCUGAAGUGUUCUCAAAGAGGCUUGUAACCCUCAGUCUCAGCAGCUAACUCUGGUUCCUCUACUUGCCUAUUGGUACCAGUUUCAACCAGAACCUGGCAUCAUAGAAGCUGAAGUUCAGCCACCCAAGUUCAAAGUGCACGUUUCUUUAUUGAGGAGAAGUGAGAGUGCCUAGGCUCUUCCCAGCACAUGGGCAUCUCCUGCUCUUUUGGUUUAUCCCUGUAAUGGGUUAAAUUACUUUAAAUCCUUGGAAGAUGGGGGUCAUGGUUCAUUUCUCACUUAGUGAAAAACUGAAACAGAUACUGUCUUUUUUCCUGCCUCAGGUUUAUUUGUACAAACAGCACAGGUAGACAUGAGCCCCAUGCAGACAG
Molecule: non-coding RNA, 999 nt
Organism: Vicugna pacos (alpaca)
Lineage: Eukaryota; Metazoa; Chordata; Mammalia; Artiodactyla; Camelidae
Source: RefSeq, a predicted model, not a curated record